UCAUUGUCGAAGCCUGGCAAUCCGGUGCGACCCGUGAACGUGUUCUACCGCCCGGGCAGGCGACCCCGCACGGCGGGUCGGCUAGCCCCUGCUGCCGGGACGGAUACGCCCUGCGCGGAACCCGUCCCUGCACAACAACAAACCCCGGCGCGGAAUGCGCCAAGGAAUCUUUAUGUCAAUCGUUUGGUGCGCCCCUUCGGCCCGGAAACGGUGCCCGUCUGGGCGGMGUCACAACGCUCGAGUCUAAAACGACUCUCGGCAACGGAUAUCUCGGCUCUUGCAUCGAUGAAGAACGUAGCGAAAUGCGAUACUUGGUGUGAAUUGCAGAAUCCCGUGAACCAUUGAGUCUUUGAACGCAAGUUGCGCCCGAAGCCAUUAGGCCGAGGGCACGCCUGCCUGGGUGUCACUUAUCGCUGCCCCCAACCCCGGCGCCUUCGGGCGCCGGGCGGGGUGAAUGCUGGCUUCCCGUGAGCAAUCCGCCUCACGGUUGGUUGAAAACCGGGUUCGUGGUGGAGUGCGGCACCAUGAUAGACGGUGGUUGAGUGCAAUCUCGAGGCCAAUCACGUGUGUCUCUCCACUGGCUACGGACCCCGCGACCCGGGAGCGAACGACGAUCGCCCAUAAUGCGACCUCGAGUCAGGCAG
This 644-nucleotide ribosomal RNA is filed under the name Centrolobium robustum. RNAcentral describes it as "eukaryotic LSU rRNA". The stretch from base 251 to 406 matches the Rfam family "5.8S ribosomal RNA". Lineage: Eukaryota; Viridiplantae; Streptophyta; Magnoliopsida; Fabales; Fabaceae. The record is from RNAcentral.